GACGAACGCUGGCGGCGUGCUUAACACAUGCAAGUCGAACGGGCCCGCCCUCUUUUUUGGGGGUGGGUUGAGUGGCGAACGGGUGAGUAUCACGUGAGUAACCUGCCCCCUGCUCCUGGAUAACUGCUUGAAAGGGCGGCUAAUACGGGGUGUGCCGGCUGGUCCGCAUGGGCCUGGUCGGGAUAGUUUCCUCUUCGGGUGUUUCGGUGGGGGAUGGGCUCGCGGCCUAUCAGCUUGUUGGUGGGGUGAUGGCCCACCAAGGCGGUGACGGGUAGCCGGCCAGAGAGGGUGGGCGGCCAGGCUGGGACUGAGACACGGCACAGACUCGUGCGGGAGGCAGCGGUGGGGGGUAUUGCACAAUGGGCGGAAGCCUGAUGCAGCGACGUCGCGUGAGGGAUGGAGGCCUUCGGGUGGUGAACCUCUUUCUCCGGUGGUGAAGGCCCUGUCCGUUGCGGCGGGGUUGACGGUAGCCGGGUAUGAAGCGCCGGCUAACUACGUG
RNAcentral lists this ribosomal RNA (499 nucleotides) under uncultured bacterium. RNAcentral's name for it is "partial 16S ribosomal RNA". It matches the Rfam family "Bacterial small subunit ribosomal RNA", at positions 28 to 507 of the family's 1533-position model. The record is from RNAcentral.